This 263-nucleotide signal recognition particle RNA is filed under the name Chloroflexota bacterium. RNAcentral's name for it is "Chloroflexi bacterium signal recognition particle sRNA large type". It matches the Rfam family "Bacterial large signal recognition particle RNA". Rfam says of the family: The signal recognition particle (SRP) is a universally conserved ribonucleoprotein involved in the co-translational targeting of proteins to membranes. Archaeal SRP consists of a 7S RNA and homologues of the eukaryotic SRP19 and SRP54 proteins. In most bacteria, the SRP consists of a 4.5S RNA and the Ffh protein (a homologue of the eukaryotic SRP54 protein). The record is from RNAcentral. Lineage: Bacteria; Bacillati; Chloroflexota.
UCGCGCUAGACGGGGAGCCAGCGGUGCCCUGUACCCGCAAUCCGCUUCAGCGGGGUCGAACUCCCCUUUGAGGGGUGCGCUUUCCGGAACCGUGUUGCGUUCGGCUGCGUUGAGGGCCUGGUCCUGCGCGACCUGGUCCCGUGAACCCCGUCAGGUCCGGAAGGAAGCAGCGGUAAACGGGGUGCCGGGGGCGCCGCAGCCCACCGGGCCUGAGUGGCCGGCGUUUCGCGCCCGGUCAGUGCACAACGAUCUGGGGUGCGCGA